GGCUGGUUUGAGUGCAGUGAUGCUUACAACUAAUUGAUCACAUCCAAUUACAGAUUUCUUUGCUCCUUCUCUACUCCCAGUGCUUCACUUGACUAGCCUUUA
Unclassified non-coding RNA from Gorilla gorilla gorilla (western lowland gorilla), 102 nucleotides. It matches the Rfam family "Y RNA". From Rfam's summary of the family: Y RNAs are components of the Ro ribonucleoprotein particle (Ro RNP), in association with Ro60 and La proteins. The Y RNAs and Ro60 and La proteins are well conserved, but the function of the Ro RNP is not known. The record is from Ensembl. Lineage: Eukaryota; Metazoa; Chordata; Mammalia; Primates; Hominidae.